This is an RNA transcript of Microtus oregoni (creeping vole), 1998 nucleotides long. It is a transcript of the gene named lipase maturation factor 1, with no coding region annotated. Lineage: Eukaryota; Metazoa; Chordata; Mammalia; Rodentia; Cricetidae. The transcript has 12 exons. The record is from RefSeq and is a predicted model, not a curated record.
GGUCAGAGGGCUAAGGGUGACACACUGCCCAGCGUCCGGGCGUCCGAUUCUCUGCAGCGUGGCUCGACUUUCGGGCGGCUGGCGAGGACGCUAAUCCACAGGUUCCUGAGCCCAACAUCCCUCCCUCCACUGGGAAUCCGCUAUUUCAAACAAAUCUGGGUUCUGCCCGCCGGGUGGCGCAAUGACAGUAGCCACCACGUGACCCUGGUAACUCGAGCACCUAGUUGUGGCCUUCUUGGUGGCGUUCAAUCAGAACAAGGCCCUCAUCGGUGACCGGGGCCUGCUGCCCUGCAGACUGUACCUGAAGAAUGUCCAGCAGUACUUCCAGGGCAGGGCUGGCUGGGAUGCCUGGAGCUCCACUCCAACCGUCCUGUGGCUGUUGGACUGGUCAAACAUGAACUUCAACCUGGACCUUCUUGCUCUGCUGGGGCUGGGCCUCUCCUCUUUUGUCCUGGUGACUGGCUGUGCCAACAUGAUCCUCAUGGCUACCCUCUGGGCCCUCUACAUGUCCCUGGUCAACGUAGGGCAGAUCUGGUAUUCUUUUGGAUGGGAAUCCCAGCUGCUGGAAACAGGAUUCCUGGGGAUCUUUCUGUGCCCUCUCUGGACGCUGUCCCGCCUCCCUAAGCACACCCCCACAUCUGGAGUUGUCCUGUGGGGCUUCCGCUGGCUGAUCUUCAGGAUCAUGCUUGGAGCGGGCCUAAUCAAGAUCCGUGGGGACAAGUGCUGGCUGGACCUGACCUGCAUGGACUUCCACUAUGAGACCCAGCCAGUGCCCAACCCGAUGGCCUACUACCUGCACAGGUCACCCUGGUGGUUCCAUCACUUUGAGACACUCAGCAACCACUUCCUGGAACUUGUUGUGCCUUUCUUCCUGUUCCUCGGCCGCCGGAUGUGCAUUCUUCACGGGGUGCUGCAGAUCCUUUUCCAGGUGAUCCUCAUCAUCAGUGGGAACCUGAGCUUCCUGAAUUGGCUCACCAUUGUGCCCAGCCUUGCCUGUUUUGACGAUGCAGCUCUGGGAUUCCUGUUUCCCUCAGGACCUCGAGGCUUAAAGAACCAAGUCCUAAAGAUGCAAAAGGAAGAAACACAAGGGGUCCAGUCCAAGCCAAGAUACGGCUGCAUGGUACGGCAAGUGGUCAACUUCUCCCUGGGCAUCCUGGUGGCCUGGCUCAGCGUGCCUGUGGUCAUCAACCUGCUAAGCUCCAGGCAGGUCAUGAACACCUCCUUCAACCCACUCAGGAUUGUCAACACCUACGGGGCCUUUGGAAGUAUCACCAAGGAACGGACUGAGGUGAUCCUGCAGGGCACAGCCAGCCCUAAUGCCAGUGCACCCGACGCAGUGUGGGAGGACUAUGAGUUCAAGUGUAAGCCAGGAGACCUCUGGAGGCGGCCAUGCCUUAUCUCUCCAUACCACUACCGCCUGGACUGGCUGAUGUGGUUUGCAGCUUUCCAGACCUAUGAGCAGAACGAGUGGAUCAUCCACCUGGCGGGGAAGCUCCUAGCUGGUGACGCCGAGGCCCUGUCCCUGCUAGCUCUCAACCCGUUCGAGGGCAAGACUCCCCCCAGGUGGAUCCGAGGAGAACAUUACCGUUACCGGUUCAGCCUCCCCAGUGGCCAGCACGCUGCCCAGGGCAAGUGGUGGAUACGCAAGCGAAUUGGUCCCUACUUUCCGCCACUCCACCUUGAGGAUCUGAAAGACUUCUUUAGGACUCGGGAGUGGCCGCUGCUAAAACCCCAUCCAGACACAUCCUGAAAUAAAGACCAGAGACUAACUGCUUUCCUGCCUGUACUUUCUGCUGUGGCCAUGGGUCCCACACAGAGCCCAUCGGUCCUGCCAAGAAGAGAAUUGAAAAAGAUUGUGCUUCGACACAGGCAUCAGCCAGGAGCUGAGCAGAAUCUCUGGACUGACAGAGGACACUCAUGGAGAACCCUACCUCUACCUGCCUGCAAACUCAGGACUCCAAGUCACCAGGCGCUGUCUCCCUGAGGUGCCACGUUGGG